This 2664-nucleotide long non-coding RNA is filed under the name Mytilus galloprovincialis (Mediterranean mussel). Lineage: Eukaryota; Metazoa; Mollusca; Bivalvia; Mytilida; Mytilidae. The record is from RNAcentral.
GGUUUGGCUUAGUAGGGUGAAAUUUAAAAGCGCAUAAACUAUAUGAUACAAUAUGAGAAAUAUUUAAGCGACAUAUUGCGAAACAAACAUUUAUCGCAAGAACAAAAUUUGGCGGAAAAAAAAAAUAAUAAUAAUUAAAAACCAAUUGUUCAGAGAACAAUUGAAAGUUUUUCCACACCACAGAAAUUUGGAUAAGAAGGUAGUUUCUUCAUACUGAUGCGAUAAAUAAUGGUUUAAUUAUCUUUUUGAGUGAUAUAAGGGAGAUAAUAUGCUACUUCCGGUGAAAUGAAUGUCACAUCUGGUCUCAUAUGAUAGGUUCUUUCACACUGAUUGCAAAAAUAUAUAGUUUCUAUAUACUUUUGUAUGUAGAAUGGGAGAUAAUUGGCCACUUCCAGUUUGUUGGAAGUCAUUUUAAGUCUUCAGUACUUUGUUCAUGUAUCUAUAUGAAAAAAAUAUAUGGAUUCUGAGUACUUUUAUGUGAAGAAAUUGCAAAAAAAGCUACUUCCGGUUUUCUCAAGGUCACUUCCGGUGGCCAUUUUUCAAGGUCAUUUGUCAUUUAACCUUUUGUAUCAGGUCAAAUGUCUUUAUAAUGAACUUACUUGAAGUUAUAAUCAAAUAACCUCAUAUCAAGACAUUUCAGGGGCGACAACUCCUAUAAGAUGCCAUCUAAUUGUAUAAGACUAAAUGUAGCAUAUCUUCAUUACAAUUAAGCAGACAUUUUGCACUUGUUCUUUUAUAUGAAUCUCUCAAAGUGAGUGAGAAAAUGCAAAAACAAGCAAAAGUCACAAUUGGGAACUUGACCUUGACCUUUGACCUUGACCUCAUUUUCUAAGUUAGGACAUAGGGGACUCAAAUAAAAACAUCCCAGGGUUAUACGGUUAUCUGUUAAUGAGUUAAAUAAACAUACCGACAAAUUCAUUUUGUAAAGGUAGAUAACUCCUAUAAAAUUUCAUCGAAUCGCUUCAAUCCAAAUACGCCAAAAAUUACUGAGGAUGUAACGAACAAUUUGUAAAAAGAAUUUUGUCGCUAUCUUUUUUUGUUACGAAGGAGAUACGCUUUGAUGAUAAACAGUGAAUAGGGAGAUAACUCUUACAAAGAAAAUGGUUCGGCUUAGCAGGGUGAAAUUUAAAAGCGCAUAAACUAUACAAUACAAUAUGAGAAAUAUCUAAGCGACAUAUUGCGAAACAAACAUUUAUCGCAAGAACAAAAGUUGGCGGAAAAAAAAAAAAAUAAUAAUAAUAAUAAUUAAAAACCAAUUGUUCAGAGAACAAUUGAAAGUCUUUCCACACCACAGAAAUUUGGAUAAGAAGGUAGUUUCUUCAUACUGAUGCGAUAAAUAAUGGUUUAAUUAUCUUUUUGAGUGAUAUAAGGGAGAUAAUAUGCUACUUCCGGUGAAAUGAAUGUCACAUCUGGUCUCAUAUGAUAGCUUCUUUCACACUGAUUGCAAAAAUAUAUAGUUUCUAUAUACUUUUGUAUGUAGAAUAGGAGAUAAUUGGCCACUUCCGGUUUGUUGGAAGUCAUUUUUAGUCUUCAGUAAUUUGUUCAUGUAUCUAUAUGAAAAAAUAUAUGGAUUCUGAGUACUUUUAUGUGAAAAAAUUGCAAAAAAAGCUACUUCCGGUUUUCUCAAGGUCACUUCCGGUAGCCAUUUUUCAAGGUCAUUUGUCACUUAACCUUUUGUAUCAGGUCAAAUGUCUUUAUAAUGAACUUACUUGAAGUUAUAAUCAAAUAACCUCAUAUCAAGACAUUUCAGGGGCGACAACUCCUAUAAGAUGCCAUCUAAUUGUAUAAGACUAAAUGUAGCAUAUCUUCAUAACAAUUAAGCAGACAUUUUGCACUUGUUCUUUUAUAUGUAUCUCUCAAAGUGAGUGAGAAAAUGCAAAAACAAGCAAAAGUCACAAUUGAGAACUUGACCUUGACCUUUGACCUUGACCUCAUUUUCUAAGUUAGGACCUAGGGGACUCAAAUAAAAACAUCCCAGGGUUAUACGGUUAUCUGUUAAUGAGUUAAAUAAACAUACCGACAAAUUUAUUUUGUAAAGGUAGAUAACUCCUAUAAAAUUUCAUCGAAUCGCUUCGAUCCAAACACGCCAAAAAUUACUGAGGAUGUAACGAACAAUUUGUAAAAAGAAUUUUGUCGCUAUCUUUUUUUGUUACGAAGGAGAUACGCUUUGAUGAUAAAAAGUGAAAAGGGAGAUAACUCUUACAAAGAAAAUGGUUCGGCUUAGCAGGGUGAAUUUUAAAAGCGCAUAAACUAUACGAUACAAUAUGAGAAAUAUCUAAGCGACAUAUUGCGAAACAAACAUUUAUCGCAAGAACAAAAGUUGGCGGAAAAAAAAAAAAAUAAUAAUAAUAAUAAUAAUAAUCAGAACAAAAACAAUAAGUCUUUCCACAGAAAAGUGGAAAGACUUAAUUAAAAACCAAUUGUUCAGAGAACAAUUGAAAGUCUUUCCACACCAAAGAAAUUUGGAUAAGAUGGUAGUUUCUUCAUACUGAUGCGAUAAAUGAUGGUUUAACUAUCUUUUUGAGUGAUAUAAGGGAGAUAAUAUGCUACUUCCGGUCAAAUGAAUGUCACAUUCGGUCUCAUAUGAUAGCUUCUUUCACACUGAUUCCAAAAAUAUAUAGUUUCUAUAUACUUCUGUAUGUAGAAUGGGAGAUAAUUGGCCAC